UGGGGAUAUUGCACAAUGGGCGCAAGCCUGAUGCAGCCAUGCCGCGUGUGUGAAGAAGGCCUUCGGGUUGUAAAGCACUUUCAGUCAGGAGGAAAGGUUAGUAGUUAAUACCUGCUAGCUGUGACGUUACUGACAGAAGAAGCACCGGCUAACUCCGUGCCAGCAGCCGCGGUAAUACGGAGGGUGCGAGCGUUAAUCGGAAUUACUGGGCGUAAAGCGUACGCAGGCGGUUUGUUAAGCGAGAUGUGAAAGCCCCGGGCUCAACCUGGGAACUGCAUUUCGAACUGGCAAACUAGAGUGUGAUAGAGGGUGGUAGAAUUUCAGGUGUAGCGGUGAAAUGCGUAGAGAUCUGAAGGAAUACCGAUGGCGAAGGCAGCCACCUGGGUCAACACUGACGCUCAUGUACGAAAGCGUGGGGAGCAAACGGGAUUAGAUACCCCGGUAGUCCACGCCGUAAACGAUGUCUACUAGAAGCUCGGAGCCUCGGUUCUGUUUUUCAAAGCUAACGCAUUAAGUAGACCGCCUGGGGAGUACGGCCGCAAGGUUAAAACUCAAAUGAAUUGACGGGGGCCCCGCACAAGAAACGAAG
RNAcentral lists this ribosomal RNA (589 nucleotides) under Pseudoalteromonas sp. Its description in RNAcentral is "bacterial SSU rRNA". It matches the Rfam family "Bacterial small subunit ribosomal RNA", at positions 356 to 937 of the family's 1533-position model. The record is from RNAcentral. Lineage: Bacteria; Pseudomonadati; Pseudomonadota; Gammaproteobacteria; Alteromonadales; Pseudoalteromonadaceae.